This 305-nucleotide ribosomal RNA is filed under the name uncultured bacterium. Its description in RNAcentral is "bacterial SSU rRNA". It matches the Rfam family "Bacterial small subunit ribosomal RNA", at positions 337 to 634 of the family's 1533-position model. The record is from RNAcentral.
GCCUACGGGGCGCAGCAGUAGGGAAUCUUCCACAAUAGGCGAAAGCCUGAUGGAGCAACGCCGCGUGGGUGAAGAAGGUCUUCGGAUCGUAAAACCCUGUUGUUAGAGAAGAAAGUGCGUGAGAGUAACUGUUCACGUUUCGACGGUAUCUAACCAGAAAGCCACGGCUAACUACGUGCCAGCAGCCGCGGUAAUACGUAGGUGGCAAGCGUUAUCCGGAUUUAUUGGGCGUAGAGGGAACGCAGGCGGUCUUUUAAGUCUGAUGUGAAAGCCUUCGGCUUAACCGGAGUAGGGGAUUGGAAACU